This 391-nucleotide unclassified non-coding RNA is filed under the name soil metagenome. Its description in RNAcentral is "partial contains 5.8S ribosomal RNA, internal transcribed spacer 2, and large subunit ribosomal RNA". The stretch from base 1 to 122 matches the Rfam family "5.8S ribosomal RNA", at positions 35 to 154 of the family's 154-position model. The record is from RNAcentral.
GAUGAAGAACGCAGCGAAAUGCGAUACUUGGUGUGAAUUGCAGAAUCCCGUGAACCAUCGAGUCUUUGAACGCAAGUUGCGCCCGAAGCCAUUAGGCCGAGGGCACGCCUGCCUGGGUGUCACACGUCGUUGCCCCCCCAUCUACUCCUUCGGGAUUGCGGGGGGCGGAUGAUGGCCUCCCGUGCGCCUCGUCGCGCGGUUGGCAUAAAUGCCAAGUCCUCGGCGACGCACGCCACGACAAUCGGUGGUUGCGAAACCGCGGUUGCCCGUCGUGUGCGGUCGUCGCGCAUCGAGGGCUCGAAAAAAUUGCCGGGCUCCGGCUCGGCUUUCAACGCGACCCCAGGUCAGGCGGGGUUACCCGCUGAAUUUAAGCAUAUCAAUAAGCGGAGGA